GCGGGUGUAGCUCAAUGGUAGAGCGCUGGCUUCCCAAGCCAGUUACGUGGGUUCGAUUCCCAUCAUCCGCUCCA
This 74-nucleotide transfer RNA is filed under the name Bacillota bacterium. Its description in RNAcentral is "tRNA-Gly". It matches the Rfam family "tRNA". From Rfam's summary of the family: Transfer RNA (tRNA) molecules are approximately 80 nucleotides in length. Their secondary structure includes four short double-helical elements and three loops (D, anti-codon, and T loops). Lineage: Bacteria; Bacillati; Bacillota. The record is from RNAcentral.